Molecule: long non-coding RNA, 2908 nt
Filed under: Nicotiana benthamiana
Lineage: Eukaryota; Viridiplantae; Streptophyta; Magnoliopsida; Solanales; Solanaceae
Description: long non-coding RNA (NBEN_LNC028618)
Source: RNAcentral
AAAAGUAAAUUUUGGUACAUAAAUUGAAACAUGGUAUACUUAAAUGUAAUAAAUACUAACCUUAAACAUAAGUGGUUAUAAGGUUUGUUAUAUGGGAUGUAUAUGUAAAAAUCCCAAAAAUUAAUGGAGGCAGCCCAAAGAUAGUUUUCAGUAAAUUGGGCUUCCAUAUUCGUGUGAGUUGAUUAAAGAUAUUCAAGCACAGACCUGGAACAUGCUGUUGGAAGGCCCCAAAGAUAUGGUCUCAUUUUGAUUAUACUACUAGGCCCAUUAUUGAGGGGGUCAGGCCCAAGGCAUGCGGCUAUAAGGACUGCAGCCAUGGAGUGGAUUGUUUCCAAUUGGGCUUGGCAUUUGGGCCCGAUGACACAGAAGAAAAGUUCAAUUGCUGACCACUCAAAUACUAUAAUUCAAAUAAACUAAGUGGACGACUUGAUUCAAUAGGCAAUGCAAUUCGAAGUUAUUCUAGUUUGAACGCUUACACAGGCAUGUGACUAAGAUGCAGUCAUGUCGAAUGUGAAUAUUGAAUAUCUCAAACUCAUAUUCAUACACUCUAUGACAUGAGAUUCAAGCAAAACUAGAAUUAUAUACACAGCCAUCAUUAACCUCCGAUUUCAGAUUAUCACCUACUAUCGUUGUUACUGAGCUUUAACUGAUUAUUCUAGAAAUUCUAAACAAUUUAUUUAAGUAUAAGACGGAAAUUUAUCUCGUUACUAGCCACUUCCUAGACAGAUGCAUGAGGUAGCAGACAGGAAAUUAACUACAACUAGUUAUAAAAUUAUUCUGUCAAACGACUGUAAAAUCAACUAUGACUAAUGUUCAACUCAUGAAGCUCACACAAACUCGAGAAAUAGCAGUUAAUACGAUCCAAUUAGUACAUAAAUAAGCAAGGUUCUGGAAGUAAACUAAAUCAAAUUUAUGCCUCCAUUCUUCACACAGAUUCAUUUCUUCACAUUUUCAGCUUACAAUCAUCAGAGAUACAAUUGUGUACCUGGAAUUGAAAUAGAUGAUAAAAUACAGGAGUUAGCUAAAGCAGUAAUGAAUAACAGCCCAAAAUCAUAGAAGUGGAUCAAUUUCAACUCCAAUCUACCACAACAAACCAAGAAUAAUUUGUAGAACAAUAAACAGCGACAAGCUACUGAAAAUAGAUCAAUCUAUGACCAAGCAGAGUCGAAUUCAACCCGGGACUGCUUCCUACCAGGAAAUACCCAAACAGAGCUCGACUAAUACCCGAAAACACUUGCAAUUGAAUCUCACAAGAUUAGAAACUAGAAUUAAUAGCUAACUUGCAACAAAUAUGAAGGAAUUAUUGAUGGAAUAGUUUUUUUUUAUUUUUUAUUUUCUGUUGCUUCAUUUUUUGAUUUUCUGGAAAGUUUUUUAUCUAACAGAGAUUUCAAAAUCUAGAUCUAGUUUUUGAAUAUGAAACAAUAGAAUAAUUUGGGGGGAAAUUUGGAGGAUCAAACUUAUUCACUAAGGCACUAGUCAUGCCUUUUUAUAGGCAAAAUGAGGGCAGCCCUCAGAUUUAAAGUUUUACACUCUUAAUCCAUCUUUACUAUUCAAUUUUACGCAAACAACCCCUUAUAUACUGACUUGUUUCUCAAGUUAAUAUCUUAUAUUUACUGAAAUCUAAACUAAAGCCCUAUUCUAGAAGGAUCUAGGGAAUUCUAGUUUGUGUUUCCAUUUAUGGAAUACCUAUACUACCCUUACUUUAUCCUAAAAUUUACUAGACUAAACUAACCCUUUUACCCUAGUUGAAGUUUAACUACAGUUAUUCAAAGAGCAUAAUGCAGCCAUGUCCAAUGAACUAACAAAGCUGGAAAACCAUUCUAAUUUCAUUAACGGAAAAAAAUUCAAAGAGCAAUCUAAUAUAAUUAACUAACUUAUAAAACUAAAACUUAUCAAAACAAAUUUCAAAUAUCACAAACUAGGAUGAAAAGAACAAUUAAACCAAAUAAGAACCAAUUGAAUCGUAAAGCAAAAAUUAAAACCAGCAGAAUCAACAUGAAAACAGAGAUCAGGUGAAAUUUAAACUAAUCAGAAAAAACCAUGAAGAACGUUUACUAUUUUUUAAUCAUUCUCAAAGUCUAAUUAAACCACAAUCCUAAGUUUAUAGUAAUAUAAUCCAACAUGAUAGACUCAAUAUUCAUGCCUGAACUACAAGCUUAUCACAAACAAAUUACAUUCAUUAAUUCGGACUAAAAUACCAAGGAGAAGAACGGAGAGUCGACAUACUGAAAAUAGAAAAAAUAGAGAAGCCAAUAAUGAACAAAGAGAAAGAAAACAUAAACAAAAGAAAAGAGAAGAACUCAAUCUAUGCCUGAUACGAGGAGGCUACUGCAUGGGUCGAUUCGGUCCCUAACAUCAAAAGAACCAAAUCCUAGAUCUGAAAUUGGCGAGCUUCACUUAAAUUUGAAGGUUCUUGGCUUAGAAUUUGGAAUGAGGAGGCCCAGGAGACUCUGGGGUACGAUUUUGAUCGGAUUUGGAAGAAGUAGGGUUUUGGCCGGAUUUUCAAAUGAAGAUCUGAAGAUAUUAGCGAUGAUUCGAGGUAAAUGGGUUGAAUAUUUGGGAUGAGGAGGUUGAGGAGAUCAUAGGGUGUAAAUUUGGGACUGAUUUGUGGUGGUGCCGCCACCGGAGACGGUGAGGGUUUGGGGGCGGCUUAGCUAGGGUUAUUGUGUAUCUCUGAUGAACCAAGGGAGUGAAAGCGACGUUAAGGGGGUGGGGGUGGGGGGUUUCGAACAGUUAAGUAUUAAGGGGAAGGGGCUUCUCGAAUAUAGAUGGUUGAGAUCAAAACUCAAACGAAUGACGUUAUUUUGAAAUACAAAGGUAGACCGGGUUCGGAAAUGAAGCUGCGCCGGACUCGGUGGAUUCUAAUUCGUUUGGGCUGCCUUUUAGCCCAAAAUUGGGCAAUAUUAUG